This 441-nucleotide ribosomal RNA is filed under the name uncultured bacterium. RNAcentral's name for it is "partial 16S ribosomal RNA". It matches the Rfam family "Bacterial small subunit ribosomal RNA", at positions 338 to 795 of the family's 1533-position model. The record is from RNAcentral.
CCUACGGGAGGCCGCAGUGGGGAAUAUUGCACAAUGGGGGAAACCCUGAUGCAGCGACGCCGCGUGAAGGAAGAAGUAUUUCGGUAUGUACACUUCUAUCAGCAGGGAAGAAAAUGACGGUACCUGACUAUGAAGCCCCGGCUAACUACGUGCCAGCAGCCGCGGUAAUACUUAGGGGGCAAGCGUUCUCCGGGUUUACUGGGUGUAAAGGGUGCGUAGGCUGUGAGGUAAGUCAGCGGUGAAAUGCCCCAGCGCAACGGGGUGAAGUGCCAUUGAUACUGGCUUGCUGGAAUGCGGAUGCCGUAGGAGGAAUGUGUGGUGUAGCGGUGAAAUGCAUAGAUAUCACACAGAACACCGAUUGCGAAGGCAGCUCACGAAUCCGCGAUUGACGCUGAUGCACGAAAGCGUGGGUAUCAAACAGGAUUAGAUACCCUUGUAGUC